UGAAAGUGGAUAGCACGCACUUGAUACACAAGGCCAAUUCUUUCUACAACCUGUCAAACUGAUCCAGUUGGCAGCAGGACACACAGGCCUCUACCCUGAACCACAUGACCGUCCACUGAUUGAUCCACUUCUUCACGUCUGGCAGCGAGUAAUUGUACAAGCUAAGCAGCAUAGGUCAUCGCCGAUGUUUUCCGCACAGCGGCCUGAUGUCCAAGGGAAAGGCAAGCCAACGCAGCACAACCGAACGAGAUGAAGAAACAUGAAUUUCUCAAGCGAUUCGCUGGUGAUUUAUUUUCGCAACGUAAAAAUAGAUAUUUGUCCACCUACAAGUAAUCAAGCUUCAGCCCUCUUCCUUUAGGAGUAUCGGUGGUAAGGGUGGCGACUUAAUAAUAAUUUUUCAAUCGAGUGAGACAUUGACAUUUCAUCAUAGCCUUAUCAUGGUCAUUAAUGAAAAUCAUCGUAAUCUGUUUCUAUAAGAACGAUUCUAAGCUUUACCUCUUCU
Molecule: long non-coding RNA, 502 nt
Organism: Varroa destructor (honeybee mite)
Lineage: Eukaryota; Metazoa; Arthropoda; Arachnida; Mesostigmata; Varroidae
Source: RefSeq, a predicted model, not a curated record